UCGCCCCUUUUUUUACAAAAACAUGUUUUUUUGUAUAAUAAUUUAAGAUUUGACCUGCCCACUGAUAAUAAAUUGAAGGGCCGCGGUAUUUUGACCGUGCAAAGGUAGCAUAAUCAUUAGUCCUUUAAUUGUGGACUGGAAUGAAUGGUUUGACGAGGUAUUUACUGUCUCAUUUUAAUAAUUUGAAUUUAACUUUUGAGUCAAAAGGCUUAAAUGAUUUUAUAGGACGAGAAGACCCUAUAGAGCUUAAUAAUUAUUAAUUAUAAUAUAUUUUUAGUUAAUUAUUUUUAUUAUAAUUUUAAUUAUUUUAUUGGGGUGAUAUAAAGAAUUAUAAAACUCUUUAUUUUUAAGAACAUUGAUUUAUGAUUAAUUGAUCCAUUAUUAAUGAUUAUAAGAUUAAGUUACCUUAGGGAUAACAGCGUUAUUUUUUUUGAGAGUUCUUAUCAACAGAAAAGAUUGCGACCUCGAUGUUGGAUUAAGGUAAAUAUUGGGUGUAGAAGUUCAAUAAAUGGGUCUGUUCGACCAUUAAAUCCUUACGUGAUCUGAGUUUCAGA
This 554-nucleotide ribosomal RNA is filed under the name Pseudotachycines volutus. RNAcentral's name for it is "partial large subunit ribosomal RNA". It matches the Rfam family "Bacterial large subunit ribosomal RNA", at positions 1796 to 2616 of the family's 2925-position model. Lineage: Eukaryota; Metazoa; Arthropoda; Insecta; Orthoptera; Rhaphidophoridae. The record is from RNAcentral.